This 19-nucleotide small nuclear RNA is filed under the name Arabidopsis thaliana (thale cress). Its description in RNAcentral is "snRNA_07457". Lineage: Eukaryota; Viridiplantae; Streptophyta; Magnoliopsida; Brassicales; Brassicaceae. The record is from RNAcentral.
GUAUAGUCUCGAAUGCAGG